Molecule: ribosomal RNA, 1373 nt
Filed under: metagenome
Description: bacterial SSU rRNA
Rfam family: Bacterial small subunit ribosomal RNA
Source: RNAcentral
UGGAGUGGGGGAUAACCCAGCGAAAGUUGGGCUAAUACCGCAUGAGCUCUGAGGAGGAAAGCGGGGGACUCGCAAGAGCCUCGCGCUGCAGGAGCGGCCGAUGUCCGAUUAGCUAGUUGGUGGGGUAAAGGCCUACCAAGGCGACGAUCGGUAGCUGGUCUGAGAGGAUGAUCAGCCACACUGGGACUGAGACACGGCCCAGACUCCUACGGGAGGCAGCAGUGGGGAACUUUGGACAAUGGGGGCAACCCUGAUCCAGCCAUGCCGCGUGAGUGAAGAAGGCCUUCGGGUUGUAAAGCUCUUUCGGACGGAACGAAAUGGUUACGGUUAACACCUGUGACUGAUGACGGUACCGUAAGAAGAAGCACCGGCUAACUACGUGCCAGCAGCCGCGGUAAUACGUAGGGUGCGAGCGUUAAUCGGAAUUACUGGGCGUAAAGCGUGCGCAGGCGGUUUCGUAAGCUGGAGGUGAAAUCCCCGGGCUCAACCUGGGAAUGGCCUUCAGGACUGCGAGGCUAGAGUGCGGCAGAGGGAGGUGGAAUUCCACGUGUAGCAGUGAAAUGCGUAGAUAUGUGGAGGAACACCGAUGGCGAAGGCAGCCUCCUGGGCCAGCACUGACGCUCAUGCACGAAAGCGUGGGGAGCAAACAGGAUUAGAUACCCUGGUAGUCCACGCCCUAAACGAUGUCAACUAGGUGUUGGGGAAGGUGACUUCCUUAGUACCGCAGCUAACGCGUGAAGUUGACCGCCUGGGGAGUACGGCCGCAAGGUUAAAACUCAAAGGAAUUGACGGGGACCCGCACAAGCGGUGGAUGAUGUGGAUUAAUUCGAUCAACGCGAAAAACCUUACCUACCCUUGACAUGCCAGGAACUCUGCUGAGAGGUGGAGGUGCCCGAAAGGGAGCCUGGACACAGGUGCUGCAUGGCUGUCGUCAGCUCGUGUCGUGAGAUGCUGGGUUAAGUCCCGCAACGAGCGCAACCCUUGUCGUUAAUUGCCAUCAUUUAGUUGGGCACUUUAGCGAGACUGCCGGUGACAAACCGGAGGAAGGUGGGGAUGACGUCAAGUCCUCAUGGCCCUUAAGGGUAGGGCUUCACACGUCAUACAAUGGCGCAUGCAGAGGGUUGCGAAGCCGCGAGGUGAAGCCAAUCCCAGAAAGUGCGUCGUAGUCCGGAUUGCAGUCUGCAACUCGACUGCAUGAAGUCGGAAUCGCUAGUAAUCGCGGAUCAGCAUGUCGCGGUGAAUACGUUCCCGGGUCUUGUACACACCGCCCGUCACACCAUGGGAGUGGGUUCCACCAGAAGCAGGUAGCCUAACCGCAAGGGGGGCGCCUACCACGGUGAGAUUCAUGACUGGGGUGAAGUCGUAACAAGGUA